GAGCCUAAACUAUAAUGAUAUUGAAGUUGUACUCUCAUGUAUCAUAUUAUAUGUCUCAUGACAAUCAAGUAAUUUGGAUGAAAUGUUUAACAACCAAAAGACAUAUUGUUUGAGAGGAGUCAAAUUCGAUUGAUUUGACUAUAUUAUUUUACGAUCGAACCCUUAAAUAUUAGUUCCAUUCCAGAGCGACAUGAUUAAUACCAAAAAAGAACUGUACCUUCUAGUUUUUUUUUUUUUUUUAGUUUAAUAGCCUAGUGACUAGAUCACAUACUAUUUAAAGUAUGGAGAAGUGAAGAAUCCGGGAUUCGACCCCAGUCCCUACAAAUAUUGUUCAUAGUAGCUAACAACUGAACUACAUUUAUGGAACAUACCUUCUGAUCUUUAUUUCUACAACAACUAAACAUUCGGCGAAUAAAUCAGAGUGACAAUGAGAAGAGAGUUGGAGAGAAGCAUUCAACAUUGUAUUUGAUUUGAUUUCCAUAAGUCACCCGAUUGGAUGGGUCUUUAAUUAGCAUCACAUUUUGUUCUUUGGCCAAAUUGGGUUCCCUUUGUCUGCAUUUAUUAGCGUUGGGUGGCUUCUACAAAUGCUGAAUU
RNAcentral lists this long non-coding RNA (594 nucleotides) under Medicago truncatula (barrel medic). RNAcentral describes it as "long non-coding RNA (MTRU_LNC001917)". The record is from RNAcentral. Lineage: Eukaryota; Viridiplantae; Streptophyta; Magnoliopsida; Fabales; Fabaceae.